UGAGGAAUAUUGCCCAAUGGACGCAAGUCUGAGGCAGCAACGCCGCGUGGGCGAUGAAGGCCUUCGGGUUGUAAAGCCCUUUUCUGGGGAAGAGGAAGGACGGUACCUCAGGAAUAAGUCACGGCUAACUACGUGCCAGCAGCCGCGGUAAUACGUAGGUGGCAAGCGUUAUCCGGAUUUACUGGGCGUAAAGCGCGUGCAGGCGGUUUCGUAAGUCGGACGUGAAAGCUCCUGGCGUAACUGGGAGAGGUCGUUCGAUACUGCGGGGCUUGAAGUCGGGAGAGGGACGUGGAAUUCCCGGUGUAGGGGUGGAAUGCGUAGAUAUCGGGAGGAACACCAGUGGCGAAGGCGACGUCCUGGCCCGCACCUGACGCUGAGACGCGAAAGCGUGGGUAGCAAACG
RNAcentral lists this ribosomal RNA (402 nucleotides) under uncultured bacterium. RNAcentral describes it as "bacterial SSU rRNA". It matches the Rfam family "Bacterial small subunit ribosomal RNA", at positions 355 to 774 of the family's 1533-position model. The record is from RNAcentral.